GAAAAUGAUGGUUUUUUAUUGUCAUCUGACUUGCAUCCUAUAUUUGGAUGCAAUAGUAGUGAUUGACUCAUUAUAUCUGAUUC
Molecule: small nucleolar RNA, 83 nt
Organism: Lycium barbarum (goji berry)
Lineage: Eukaryota; Viridiplantae; Streptophyta; Magnoliopsida; Solanales; Solanaceae
Product: small nucleolar RNA U31b
Exons: 1
Source: RefSeq, a predicted model, not a curated record